RNAcentral lists this ribosomal RNA (521 nucleotides) under uncultured bacterium. RNAcentral's name for it is "bacterial SSU rRNA". It matches the Rfam family "Bacterial small subunit ribosomal RNA", at positions 25 to 518 of the family's 1533-position model. The record is from RNAcentral.
CAGGACGAACGCUGGCGGCGUGCCUAAUACAUGCAAGUCGAACGGUCUUUCUAUGGAAGCUUGCUUCCACUGAGAAGAUAGUGGCGAACGGGUGAGUAACACGUGGGUAACCUGCCCAUAAGAGGGGGGAUAACAUCCGGAAACGGGUGCUAAUACCGCAUAGUUUUCUUGAUCGCAUGAUCGGGAAAGGAAAGACGGCCUUUGUGCUGUCGCUUAUGGAUGGACCCGCGGCGUAUUAGUUAGUUGGUGAGGUAACGGCUCACCAAGACGAUGAUACGUAGCCGACCUGAGAGGGUGAUCGGCCACAUUGGGACUGAGACACGGCCCAAACUCCUACGGGAGGCAGCAGUAGGGAAUCUUCCGCAAUGGACGAAAGUCUGACGGAGCAACGCCGCGUGAGUGAAAGAAGGUUUUCGGAUCGUAAAACUCUGUUGUCAGAGAAGAACAAGUCGGAGAGUAACUGCUCCGGCCUUGACGGUAUCUGACCAGAAAGCCACGGCUAACUACGUGCCAGCCGCUGC